Molecule: microRNA precursor, 95 nt
Filed under: Bigelowiella natans CCMP2755
Lineage: Eukaryota; Cercozoa; Chlorarachniophyceae
Description: miRNA EPrBNAG00000013563
Source: RNAcentral
UGUUGAUGAUGAUGAUGAUGAUGAUGAUAAUGAAGAUGAAGAAGGUGAUGAUGAAGCCUUUUUCUUCUUCUUCUUCUUCUUCUUCCUCCUCCUCU